GGAUCUGAGGUGGAACAAGAGCCUGUGACUAAAUAAUGAACCUUGGUCUUUCAUAGCAUCACAGAGUGGUUCACCAAGGGCAGUUCUGGAACCAGCAACACCAGCAUCACCUAGAAAAAGCAUUUUUUCAUUAGAAAACUACAUCCUGCUGAUUGAAAAUUCAAGACUAUAUCAAAAGUGGAUUACAAAAAUCAAUAUUUAUCUUCUAAAACUUGAUAAAUCCUAUUAUGUAUAAUAGUUUUUAAAGAAAUGACUAAAAUGAAUUUGAAACUCAAAAAUUAUGCACCGUGACUUGAAUAUGUCAUCUAACCUAAUCAGGUAGCACAUAUCUAAAUCCAGUUUGGCGAAAUGUGUGUCUCUCUGCCUGUGACCACUCUCCGGGAGGAUUGGAGGCAAGAGGAGGAGAAGGAGGAUCUCCAAGAGCCUGGUACUCUCUGAGGUGGGGCUGCAGUUCGGCACUUCCGGUGGCUGGAGGUGAGGGGAGGACACGAGGCUGACGCUGCAUCUGCAGGUGAGGGCACAGGUCCCCAUCUCCCCAGCCCCCUAGGCAGCUACUAUUCCUGCCCGAUGUGUGGCCGCUCACUGCAGCAACAACACCAAGUCAGGGAAGUUGCUGUUCUGCUUCUGCAAAGACCAGGCAAUGCAGCUGCUGUGGAACCACUUCAUACUGGGCUGCCAUGCAAACUGGUAUGGAGGCAAUGACCGCUCUGUCAAUUGUUCUGACCACUUCGCUCCAGCCUGUUUCAGUGUCUCUUCGGUGAUCCAGAAGAACUUGUGCUUCUCCUAGCGCCUGAGACUCGUGGCAGGCGCGGUGCCCAGCCUGCACUGGCUGUCCUCCCCUGCACCUAAAAGGGAAGAAGAGGGACCAAGCCGGUGGCCCCAAAAAGGGAGAAGAACCCCAGACAGGCAGGCAGCCUGAGGCUGCCCUGGGCCGGCUUCCUGUACUGCCCUCUAAGCCAGGAGAAGGUUGCAGCUUCACAGAAUAAAGGAUACAAAUCAUGAGACAAGAUUAAGAUGGUGGAAUAGAAGGACUGGAGCUCAAAUUCUCUCCUAAAAACAACAACACUCACAACUAAAGACUGAGCACUCUUCACCCAAAUGGACUGGAAACCUUAAAAACGAUAUCCUACUCCAGAAGAAAAAGAGGAGGACACAAAAAGAGGUAGGAGGGGUGAUUUCGUGAUAUAAACAACCCCAUACCUCCUGGGUGGGAAGCUCCACAGACUGGAAACUAACUGGUUCACAGAGACUCACCUACAGGAGUGAGAGUUCUGAGCCCUACAUCAAACUCUUAAGUCUGGGGCUCUGGCGCAGGGAGAAAGAGCCCCAGGGCAUCUGGCCUUGAAGGCCAGUGGGGCUUGUGCGCAGGAGCUCCAUGGGACUGGGGGAAAUGGAGACCCCGUUCUUGAAAGGUGCACAUGGAUUUUCACGUGCACUGGGUCCCAGGGCAAAGCAAAGUCUCCAUGGGAAUCUGAGUCAAACCUGACUGCAGUACUUGGAGGACAUCCUGGGAAAACAGGGGUGAAUGUGGCUUGUUGUGAGGGAAGGACAUUGAAAGCAAACCUCUCAGGAAUAUUCAGCAGUUGCCUUUCUCUGGAAGUGGACAUUUUGGGAAAGUCUGGCCCCACCCGUCAGUCAGCCUGAGAAGCCUCAGGGCAAACAACAACCCAGUGGGAUCACAGCCCCACCUCUCAGUAAACAGGCUACCUAAAGACCCCUCAGGCACACAGCUGCCUCUAAUCCCAUCCAGAGACUAAGCCUCACCCACCAGAGGGAUUAGAAUCUGCUCCACCUACCAGGAGGUAGGCAUCAGCCCCUCCCAUCAGGAAGCCUACAGCAAGCCCCCAUAAUGACUUCAGCCACAAGGGGGGCAGACACCAGAAGUAAGAGAGGCUACAACUCUACUGUCUGCAAAAAGGUCACCAUACCAAAAACCCAUAAAAAUGAAAACUAUAACUCAGAUGAGGGAGAAAGGAAAAACCCCAGAAAAUCAGCUAAGUGAGGAGGAGAUUCUCAGCCUCCAGAAAAAAAAACUUUAGACUGUUGAUGCUGAAGAUGAUGCAAGACAUUGGAAAUAAACUGGAGGAAAAGAUGGAUAAUUUACAGGAAACACUGAACAAAGAGAUACAAGAUAUAAAACUUAAACAAGAAGAGAUGCAAAAUACAAUAACUGCAAUAAAAAAUUCACUAGAAGCAGCUAACAGCAGAAUACAGGAGGCAGAAGAACGAAUAAGCGAGAUGGAGGACAGAUUAGCAGAAAUUACGGAUGCAGAACAGAAAAGAGAAAAAAGACUGAAAAGAAACGAAGAGUCUCAGAGAACUCUGGGACAAUGUUAAAUGCACCAACAUCUGUAUCAUAGGGGUGCCAGAAGGAGAAGAGAGAAAGAAGGGGACAGAAAAAAUAUUCCAAGAGAUAAUAGCUGAAAACUUCCCUAACAUGGGGAAGGAAUCACUCACUCAAAUCCAGGAAGCACAAUGAGUACCAUACAAAAUAAACCCAAGGAGGAACACCCCAAGACACAUAUUAAUCAAACUGACCAAAAUUAAAGACAAAGAGAAAAUCUUGAAAGCAGCUAGGGAAAAGAAACAUGUAACAUACAAGGGAGCCCCAAUAAGGUUAUCGGCAGAUUUUUCAGCAGAAACUCUGCAGGCCAGAAGGGAGUGGCAUGAUAUACUUCAUGUGAUGAAAGGAAAAAACCUCGAACCAAGAUUACUUUACCCAGCAAGGCUCUCAUUCAGAUUUGAAGGAGAAAUCAAAACCUUCACCGAUAAGUGAAAGCUGAGAGAAUUCAGCAACACUAAACCAGCCUUACAAUAAAUACUAAAGGAACUUCU
RNAcentral lists this long non-coding RNA (2835 nucleotides) under Sus scrofa (pig). Its description in RNAcentral is "lncRNA (ENSSSCG00000052640.1)". The record is from RNAcentral. Lineage: Eukaryota; Metazoa; Chordata; Mammalia; Artiodactyla; Suidae.